AAACUGGCAUGUAUUUGUGCUUCUGAUGCAGAAAGUAGAAGUAGUGAGGCAAUGGAAUUCUUGGUUCCACCAGGAAAAAAAACGCCUCCUCCAUUAGGGGGUCAAGAGUCAGGAGAGGCUUCAGAUCAUGCAGUUCAGAGGUCUGAACAAUUGCUAUUCUACAGAGUAUCUACACUGAUGCAAUGCUGUUCAAUGAUGCUUACUAAUCCCUAUCCUGUUCAGGUGUAUAUAGUUAUAUUUGUUAAGUAUUCUGUUUCUAGUAAUAUUAUUAUACUCAUCAUGCUUGAGGUCUUGGAUGCAGUUAAGUUAAUUUUUUUUCCCUUAUCAAAGCUCAUUUCUGAUAGGUUUCUGUUCCUGUUCGCCC
RNAcentral lists this long non-coding RNA (364 nucleotides) under Aquilegia coerulea. RNAcentral's name for it is "long non-coding RNA (ACOE_LNC000256)". Lineage: Eukaryota; Viridiplantae; Streptophyta; Magnoliopsida; Ranunculales; Ranunculaceae. The record is from RNAcentral.